CCGCUUACGGACGCCCGCCCGCGGCCCCGCUCCGCUUACCUCUCCCUCACGCGGCCCGAAGCGAGGGUUGUAGAUGAAGAAGCUCAGUAGCGCCGGCGGGAACUGCUUCUCCUGGGCCGCCCCAGCUCCCGCCCCGGCCGCCGCUGCCGCCAUCCCGGCCCGGCCCCCCAGCCUCGGGAGCCUCCCUCUGCCCGCCCAAAUACAGCUGCCGCGAGGAGACCGCACUUCCGCCUCGCUCGCCGUCGUCCCGGAAGUGUCCGCUGCCGGCCCGGAAGAAGAAUUCGCAGCCCACUUUCCACUUCUGGCGCGCCUGUGUGGGUUCGUUCCCGUUUGUGUCUUGGGAAAGGCUGGUGUCCUUUGUCACAGAAGGAAGUGCACCUGGAGCUGGGAGCAGAAGGAGGGCCCCGCAGCAAGGAGGGGAGCCAGCAGAUGCUACAGGAGGAGCUGUCGUCUCCAUGCCAGCAGCAGAACCUGGGAGUCUGGAAGCCCUGUGACGGCCCUGGGGAAACCAACCCCCUCUGAGCCUCAGUUUCCUCACCUGAAAGCAAGAGGAUUGGACUGAGUGCUGAAGGUCCAGCUGCUCUGACACCCCAGGACCCUCCUCACUUGGGGAAGAGAGCAGACGCCCUCACCUUUGCUGCUGGGCAGAGUAGCCUUUGUGUCCUUUGGGGAGACAAUGUUGGUCAUCGCCAUGGCUGGGCUAAGAAGUGACAAGCAAGAGUGUGUCUCUUUGUCCUGGACUAUUUUGUCCCCAGUCUGCCUCUGCUGACACUUGAAACCAAAAUGAAGCCUGAGAGUUUGGAGUCUGGUGAUGAGGGAGGCGUUCUCAGAAAGAAGACAGGAAAGCCCCACAUUUUAGGCCCGUUCCUGUGUUGGCCCAUUCACACCUGUGAGCUGGGGACAGGACAUGCACUCCUGGUAGCCAUCCCCAGGGCUGACUUGCACUGGUGCCCCUGCCAGCGGGGCCCCACAGACACUGCAUCCAGUCCAACACCAAGUCUGGAAUCCAGAACUUCUGGUCAGCAAAUGCAUUCUCCGUUUAAUCAAGAAAAGUGGAUCCCUGGACCUGGCCUCCACCACGCUGAGCUAAUGCUUUGGAAAGAGGUAUUAGGUUUGCAGCCACGGAGGACGGACCAAACAGAGCAAGCCACACAGCUCCGCUGCAAUCACACAGGAUGUCUGGCUGCAGCAUCCCCAGGCCGACAGCCUCCUAUCAGGGCAGACCUGCAGCCUCUCCUUGCUUCCGCUGUAAAGAAUGAGGAGGGGGCUUCCCUGGUGGCGCAGUGGUUGAGAGUCCGCCCGCCAAUGCAGGGGACACGGGUUCGAGCCCCGGUCCGGGAAGAUCCCACAUGCCGCGGAGCGGCUGGGCCCGUGAGCCACAACUACUGAGCCUGCGCGUCUGGAGCCUGUGCUCUGCAACAAGAGAGGCCGCGAUAGUGAGAGGCCCGCACACCACGAUGAAGAGUGGCCCCUGCUCGCCACAACUAGAGGAAGCCCACGCACAGAA
Molecule: long non-coding RNA, 1507 nt
Organism: Lagenorhynchus albirostris (white-beaked dolphin)
Lineage: Eukaryota; Metazoa; Chordata; Mammalia; Artiodactyla; Delphinidae
Exons: 4
Source: RefSeq, a predicted model, not a curated record